This 72-nucleotide transfer RNA is filed under the name Parachlamydiaceae bacterium. RNAcentral describes it as "tRNA-Cys". It matches the Rfam family "tRNA". From Rfam's summary of the family: Transfer RNA (tRNA) molecules are approximately 80 nucleotides in length. Lineage: Bacteria; Pseudomonadati; Chlamydiota; Chlamydiia; Parachlamydiales; Parachlamydiaceae. The record is from RNAcentral.
GGUGGCAUGGCCAAGUGGUAAGGCAGAAGCCUGCAAAGCUUCCACUCCCCAGUUCGAAUCUGGGUGCCACCU